GACGAACGCUGGCGGUAUGCCUAACACAUGCAAGUCGAACGAGAAAGUUUCUUCGGAAAUGAUUAAAGUGGCGAACGGGUGAGUAACGCGUAGGUUACAUGCCCCUUAGUUCGGGAUAAGCAUUGGAAACGAUGUCUAAUACCGGAUGUGAUCUUCGGAUUAAAGGCUUCGGCCGCUAAGGGAUUGGCUUGCGUCGUAUUAGCUUGUUGGUGAGGUAAUGGCUCACCAAGGCAACGAUACGUAGCGGAUCUGAGAGGGUGAUCCGCCACACUGGGACUGAGAUACGGCCCAG
Molecule: ribosomal RNA, 292 nt
Filed under: uncultured bacterium
Lineage: Bacteria
Description: partial 16S ribosomal RNA
Rfam family: Bacterial small subunit ribosomal RNA
Source: RNAcentral